RNAcentral lists this long non-coding RNA (258 nucleotides) under Eucalyptus grandis. RNAcentral describes it as "long non-coding RNA (EGRA_LNC002729)". The record is from RNAcentral. Lineage: Eukaryota; Viridiplantae; Streptophyta; Magnoliopsida; Myrtales; Myrtaceae.
AAAAAAUCUUAAUAUUGAGCUUUUGUUGAUAUUUUAAUUUGAGCAAUGUCAAAAUCUUAAUCAAUAUUUUUCCAUGGAUAAUAUGUAUUCCUUCGACGUAGUCAUAUCAUAUGCCUGUCACUCUUCAUUAAUGAUGAGAAACAGCCAUAACCGGGUCUCAACUGCAGAUCGAGCUAAGGGUCACACUCAAGAAGCUCUCCAUGUAACCGUUGGCUGCCUCACUUCCCAAGAAGCUCUGUGAUAAAAGGUAGCUAGCUA